AUGCACUAGAAAAUUGUUAUUCGACGAUUAUAAUUUUCAUUAUGUCUGUAGCAGUUCCCUAUCUAAACGUGACCCU
Molecule: long non-coding RNA, 76 nt
Organism: Diabrotica virgifera virgifera (western corn rootworm)
Lineage: Eukaryota; Metazoa; Arthropoda; Insecta; Coleoptera; Chrysomelidae
Exons: 2
Source: RefSeq, a predicted model, not a curated record